CCGAUGCGCCGCCGUACCAUUUUGCCGCCGUUCGAAUCGAAAAACGCCAGACUUUUCAUUUGAUUUCUUAUUUACAAUCAUUUAUUAUAAGCGUUCGAUCCUGUGGCACAUUUUUUUCCCACCCUCUCCUACUCCUCCGGUCUAAAUUUUAUACGUUUUUUUUUUUUACGCUCUACAGUAGGUACCUGCCGACGCACGAUGUUAAUGUUAGGUAGGUCGUAGGUACUAUGCAUGUUUAGAAAACUAUUCUCUAUUUGAAUCCGUGUUGGCGGAUUCCCGUUUGAAGUGUAAGCGUAAUAUAAUCAUUUAAGGCGAUUUCACGGUGGCGGCGAAAUGUCCAAUAUCCGUAGGCGCGCGUCUCUACGACAAUUUCGAUCGGGUAUAACUGUCGGUACAAUGGAGUUUUCGUAUGCGUGCGUAAUAUUUUUGUACCUGAUGUUUUUGUUUUUUUUUUUUUUUUCUAACGUUCGGUUUUCCUUUUUCAGUUUUCUUUACGAUGAAAUCACCGUAACGUUACGCAAUCGGUACUGUGCCAUCGCGACUUACAAUAAUUGUUCGCCGAGAAUAAAAAUGAGUGUCCCCCCGGCGGUAAACUACGCAACUUCACGGUG
Cinara cedri is the source of this 611-nucleotide non-coding RNA. The record is from the annotation of a GenBank genome assembly. NCBI's taxonomy places the organism in Eukaryota, Metazoa, Arthropoda, Insecta, Hemiptera, Aphididae.